AGGAGGGUUCCCUCCUGUCUGUCCCACUCGGGUGGGGCUGGCGUUUUAGCCUUGCUGGUGGGUUCGGGUCUGCUUCCCCCUCAUCACCCCCUUCUCAGUGGUCUCAUUUUGAGACUGAAGUUGGGUGAUUGCUCUUUUUCUCAGAGUGUUUGGGUGCAGCAGGCCGCGGAGGGGCACUGAGGUAAUCCGGCCUCAACCAGCAUUCCCAGGACCCGAGGCCCCUCUGACCCUGAGCAGGCUGCAGGCUGCCCCACGGACAGCAUCCUUCAGCACCACAAAGCGCACGGCUGAGCUGUGCAGUGCUAACUGAAGGGAUCCCACGAAUGUCAUGCAACUCAGUUCUCUGCUGGCUCAGGAAGGUCCCACUAACAAGCACUUUGGUGGUCGACACUACCUGUUUGUGAUGUGAGAAUGCCAGGUAAGCACAGCAGGGGGCUUCCCACGGUGGGUUCAACCCAG
This 459-nucleotide long non-coding RNA is filed under the name Saimiri boliviensis boliviensis (Bolivian squirrel monkey). Its description in RNAcentral is "lncRNA (ENSSBOG00000036664.1)". The record is from RNAcentral. Lineage: Eukaryota; Metazoa; Chordata; Mammalia; Primates; Cebidae.